UACGAAGGGGGCUAGCGUUGCUCGGAAUCACUGGGCGUAAAGCGCACGUAGGCGGAUCUUUAAGUCAGGGGUGAAAUCCUGGAGCUCAACUCCAGAACUGCCUUUGAUACUGGGGAUCUCGAGUCCGGAAGAGGUGAGUGGAACUCCGAGUGUAGAGGUGAAAUUCGUAGAUAUUAGGAAGAACACCGGUGGCGAAGGCGGCCCACUGGAUCGGUACUGACGCUGAGGUGCGAAAGCGUGGGGAGCAAACAGG
Molecule: ribosomal RNA, 253 nt
Filed under: uncultured bacterium
Lineage: Bacteria
Description: partial 16S ribosomal RNA
Rfam family: Bacterial small subunit ribosomal RNA
Source: RNAcentral